Molecule: ribosomal RNA, 1227 nt
Filed under: Hyporhamphus melanochir (southern sea garfish)
Lineage: Eukaryota; Metazoa; Chordata; Actinopteri; Beloniformes; Hemiramphidae
Description: partial 16S ribosomal RNA
Rfam family: Bacterial large subunit ribosomal RNA
Source: RNAcentral
CUCGUACCUUUUGCAUCAUGAAUUAGCCAGUAAUACUUAAGCAAAAUGAAUUUUAGUUUAAUUCCCCGAAACUAGGUGAGCUACUCCAAGACAGUCUAAUAAAAGGACGCACCCGUCUCUGUGGCAAAAGAGUGGGAAGAGCUUCGAGUAGAGGUGAUAAGCCUACCGAACCUAGUUAUAGCUGGUUGCCUGAGAAAUGAAUAGAAGUUCAGCCUCUUUCCUUCUUCCCUCCCUAUUGGCCCAGCCUAAUACCAGAGUAAGAGAAGCAAAGAGAGUUAGUCAAAGGAGGGACAGCUCCUUUGAAAAAAGACACAACUUUAACAGGUGGAUAAGGAUCAAAAUAAGCCAAGGCUAAAUGUCCCGGUGGGCCUAAAAGCAGCCACCCUGAAAGAAAGCGUUAUAGCUCAAACAUUACAUCAGCCCCCAAUCCUGAUAAAUUUUCCAAAACCCCUUAACCUACCAGGCCCUUCUAUGGCACCAUAGAAGUGAUAAUGCUAGUAUGAGUAAUAAGAGACACAACUCUCUCCAGACACAAGUGUAAAUCAGAACGGACCAACCACUGAAUAUUAACGGCCCCAAACAAAGAGGGUACUGGACCAAAAAAUAGAUCACUAGAAAACCUUCCAAUAAUAACCGUUACCCCUACACUGGAGUGCCCCUCGGAAAGACUAAAGGGAGAAGAAGGAACUCGGCAAACAUAAUUGAAGCCUCGCCUGUUUACCAAAAACAUCGCCUCUUGCCUAAAACAUAAGAGGUCCCGCCUGCCCGGUGACGAAAGUUCAACGGCCGCGGUAUUCUGACCGUGCAAAGGUAGCGCAAUCACUUGUCCUUUAAAUGAGGACCCGUAUGAAUGGCUUAACGAGGGCUUAACUGUCUCCUUCCCCUAGUCAAUGAAAUUGAUCUCCCCGUGCAGAAGCGGGGAUACACACAUAAGACGAGAAGACCCUUUGGAGCUUUAGACAACGAGCAGACCAUUAUCCCUACCCUCAAAUGAAAGAAACAAACCAAUUGGACCCUGCCCUACUGUCUUUGGUUGGGGCGACCGCGGGGAAACAAAAAACCCCCAUGUGGAACGGGAGGUCUUUCCUCCUAUAACCAAGACCCACAGCUCUAAGUUUCAGAACUUCUGACCAAAAAGAUCCGGCAAUGCCGAUCAACGAACCGAGUUACCCUAGGGAUAACAGCGCAAUCCCCUUUUAGAGCCCAUAUCGACAAGGGGGUUUACGA